UAGGGAAUCUUCCGCAAUGGGCGAAAGCCUGACGGAGCAACGCCGCGUGAGUGAUGAAGGUCUUCGGAUCGUAAAACUCUGUUAUUAGGGAAGAACAAAUGUGUAAGUAACUAUGCACAUCUUGACGGUACCUAAUCAGAAAGCCACGGCUAACUACGUGCCAGCAGCCGCGGUAAUACGUAGGUGGCAAGCGUUAUCCGGAAUUAUUGGGCGUAAAGCGCGCGUAGGCGGUUUUUUAAGUCUGAUGUGAAAGCCCACGGCUCAACCGUGGAGGGUCAUUGGAAACUGGAAAACUUGAGUGCAGAAGAGGAAAGUGGAAUUCCAUGUGUAGCGGUGAAAUGCGCAGAGAUAUGGAGGAACACCAGUGGCGAAGGCGACUUUCUGGUCUGUAACUGACGCUGAGGCUCGAAAGCGUGGGGAGCGAACAGG
RNAcentral lists this ribosomal RNA (429 nucleotides) under Bacteroidota bacterium. Its description in RNAcentral is "Bacteroidetes bacterium partial 16S ribosomal RNA". It matches the Rfam family "Bacterial small subunit ribosomal RNA", at positions 355 to 776 of the family's 1533-position model. The record is from RNAcentral. Lineage: Bacteria; Pseudomonadati; Bacteroidota.